This 558-nucleotide small RNA is filed under the name Arabidopsis thaliana (thale cress). RNAcentral's name for it is "ATSL295930". Lineage: Eukaryota; Viridiplantae; Streptophyta; Magnoliopsida; Brassicales; Brassicaceae. The record is from RNAcentral.
UAAUUAAUUAAAAUAAUUAUGUCUUCCACCCAAACCGUAUAUAUCUUAUUCUUAUCAGAAAACCCUAAUCAAUAUAUUGAAACCCUAUUUUCUCAAUUAUGGCAUCUACCCAAACUAACGAAAAUCAAAAUCAAAAUCAAGAAUCAAACGUAAGUAUGAUCUAUCCUUUCAUCCAUUCAUUAGCUAGUGUAAUUCUCAGAGUAUUUCAUGGCAUCGUCAUUUUUUUUAUUUUAUAUUUUUUUGAGUUUUUUUAUUGAAUACAUGUUUUGAUUUGUUUUCUCGAUUAGAAAAUUAUUUGGUCAGACGAGAUGACCCGUUUCUUGUUAAAACUUUAUCAUAUGUAUAGAGGCAAUCCGGAAAACCCACGAGUUCAACAUUAUUUACAGUUUAUUACACUACUUGAUGCAAUUUUUGGUGAUGUACCAAAUGCAUAAAGUACUAAGCUUUUUCUUACAAAAUUUAUUUAUUUUUGAAUUUAAUGUUUUGUUUAUGGUUUUAAUUAUUAAGCAUGUUUAAUUUUCUAAUAUUAUCAAUUUAUCAUAAUAAUAUAUUGUAUUU